Molecule: ribosomal RNA, 1684 nt
Filed under: Parakneria cameronensis
Lineage: Eukaryota; Metazoa; Chordata; Actinopteri; Gonorynchiformes; Kneriidae
Description: 16S rRNA
Rfam family: Bacterial large subunit ribosomal RNA (bases 97-1604)
Source: RNAcentral
GCAAAAUAGCUAGCCCAACAAAUAGGACUAAACCCCAAGAAAUUAAAACACCUUCAAAACCACCAACACACGAAACUAAAGCAUUCUCCCACCCUAGUAUGGGCGACAGAAAAGGAAAUACACGAGCUAUAGAGAAAGUACCGCAAGGGAAAGCUGAAAUAGUAAUGAAAAAAUCCGUUAAAGCACAACAAAGCAAAGACUAAAACUUGUACCUUUUGCAUCAUGAUUUAGCCAGUAGAACCAAGCAAAGAGAACUUCAGUUUGGACCCCCGAAACUGGUGUGAGCUACUUCAAGGCAGCCUAAAACAGGGCAAACCCGUCUCUGUGGCAAAAGAGUGGGAAGACCUUCAAGUAGAGGCGACAAACCUAACGAACCCAGUUAUAGCUGGUUGCCCAAGAAAUGGAUAUAAGUUCAACCCUAUUCUCCUUAAACUAUAAAUGUAAACACAACAUUAAGUACUAAGAAACAAAUAGGAGCUAGUCAAAGAAGGUACAGCUUCUUUGAAAAGGACACAACCUUAAUAGGAGGCAAAGGAUCAUAACACACCAAGGACCUGAUACUGCAGUAGGCCUAAAAGCAGCCACCAAGACAGAAAGCGUUAAAGCUCAAGCAAUAAAAAAUCCAAUUAUCCAGACAAACAAUCCAACCCCCCUAAUAACUAUUGGGCUAUUCCAUGCCCCCAUGGAAGAAAUAAUGCUAAAAUGAGUAACAAGAAGGACUAUCCUUCUCCCCGCACACGUGUAUGUUAAUCUGGACAAACCACUAACAAAUAACGAACUCAAAUAAAGAGAGAAUUAGAAAUUAAAAGAAGACCAAGAAAAACCUCUCAAAACCAACCGUUAACCCCACACAGGAGUGCACCACCGGGAAAGACAAAAAGGAAGAGAAGGAACUCGGCAAACACCAAAGCCUCGCCUGUUUACCAAAAACAUCGCCUCCUGCAAACAUAAUAUAGGAGGUCCCGCCUGCCCAGUGACUAAAAGUUUAACGGCCGCGGUAUCCUGACCGUGCAAAGGUAGCGCAAUCACUUGUCCCUUAAAUAGGGACCUGUAUGAAUGGCAUAACGAGGGCUUAACUGUCUCCUCCUCCAAGUCAGUGAAAUUGAUCUGCCCGUGAAGAAGCGGACAUAAAAAUGUAAGACGAGAAGACCCUAUGGAGCUUAAGACACAAAAUCAACCAAGUUCAACCACUUCCCAUUAAAAAGAAAAACAAAAUGACAACUGAUUAUCGUCUUCGGUUGGGGCGACCGCGGGGAAAAACAAAACCCCCAUGUAGAAUAGGAGAAAUCCUAAGCCAAGAUAAGACCCAUCUAAGCCAUAAAAUAUUUAACUAUCAAUGACCCGGCCUUCAAGCCGAUCAACGAACCAAGUUACCCUAGGGAUAACAGCGCAAUCCUCUUUUAGAGUCCAUAUCGACAAGAGGGUUUACGACCUCGAUGUUGGAUCAGGACAUCCUAAUGGUGCAGCCGCUAUUAAGGGUUCGUUUGUUCAACGAUUAAAGUCCUACGUGAUCUGAGUUCAGACCGGAGUAAUCCAGGUCAGUUUCUAUCUACAAUAGUCCUUUUUUCCAGUACGAAAGGAUCGAAAAAAGAAGGCCCAUACUAUAGGCACGCCUUAACCCCACCUGAUGAAACCAACUAAACCAGAUAAGGGGACACAAAACAACUAGCCAAGACCAAGGCUU